This 468-nucleotide ribosomal RNA is filed under the name Capnocytophaga granulosa. Its description in RNAcentral is "bacterial SSU rRNA". It matches the Rfam family "Bacterial small subunit ribosomal RNA", at positions 28 to 498 of the family's 1533-position model. The record is from RNAcentral. Lineage: Bacteria; Pseudomonadati; Bacteroidota; Flavobacteriia; Flavobacteriales; Flavobacteriaceae.
GAUGAACGCUAGCGGCAGGCCUAACACAUGCAAGUCGAGGGAGAAGCCCUUCGGGGCAGAAACCGGCGCACGGGUGCGUGACGCGUAUGCAACCUACCUUUCACAGGGGGAUAGCCCGAAGAAAUUUGGAUUAAUACCCCAUAAUAUUAUUGGAUGGCAUCAUUUGAUAAUUAAAAUUACGAUGGUGAAAGAUGGGCAUGCGUCCUAUUAGCUAGUUGGAGUGGUAACGGCACCCCAAGGCUACGAUAGGUAGGGGUCCUGAGAGGGAGAUCCCCCACACUGGUACUGAGACAGGGACCAGACUCCUACGGGAGGCAGCAGUGAGGAAUAUUGGUCAAUGGUCGGAAGACUGAACCAGCCAUGCCGCGUGCAGGAAGAAUGCCUUAUGGGUUGUAAACUGCUUUUAUAUGGGAAGAAUAAGGAGUACGUGUACUUUGAUGACGGUACCAUAUGAAUAAAGCUUCGGAA